This 253-nucleotide ribosomal RNA is filed under the name uncultured bacterium. Its description in RNAcentral is "partial 16S ribosomal RNA". It matches the Rfam family "Bacterial small subunit ribosomal RNA", at positions 524 to 776 of the family's 1533-position model. The record is from RNAcentral.
UACGUAGGUGGCAAGCGUUGUCCGGAUUUAUUGGGUUUAAAGGGUGCGUAGGCGGCAUUUUAAGUCAGUGGUGAAAUACGGCAGCUCAACUGUCGAGGUGCCAUUGAUACUGGGAUGCUUGAGUACUGAUGAGGUAGGCGGAAUGGACGGUGUAGCGGUGAAAUGCUUAGAUAUCGUCCAGAACACCGAUAGCGAAGGCAGCUUACUAAGGAGUAACUGACGCUGAUGCACGAAAGUGUGGGGAUCAAACAGG